UAUGUCUAUACAUGUGUCACAUACUACAGUUAUAUAUUUCAAAAGAUAAUGUGAAGUAUCACAUGGAUGCAGGCACCAACGUCUAUCUACCAAUUCCCUCUACAGGAAAUAUUAAUGACAAUUGGAAUUUAGGGAAUUAUGCGUAGUAUUUAAGAAAAUGAUGGCUUUACUGAAACACCAAAGAAAACUAUGUCACUGAAAAGGGCAAAAAAUAAAACCUUCACAGUAUUGUGAAAUUAGGGAAAGAAGAUGCUUGGUUGUAGACUACAAACCAACACAUAGAACCCUAAAUCUGAUCAGGAGCUGUUUCCUUUGAGUUUACUUUGUUUGAGCACUAAGAUAUGGUCUAAUCACCGAACUUCUUUUGCUUCUUUGGGUAUAUUUAUCUCAUCACGGGUCGUCUCCACAAAAGAAAAAGGUAAAAUUAAAAACUUAGGGUUUCUUUAUUUUCUGAGAUCAAGAAACUUCCCCUAUGUAUCUUCACCAAUAAUCAGAGGAAUAAGGUUGAUUCAUGUCCAGAUGCAAAAUUCUUCAUAAAAUAUUUAUCAAGUUUGAUAGAAAAUAGUAUUCUUUUUUUUUUAAGAAAAAGAAAAAUAAUAUUCUUACUGUUUGAUUUUUGUUAGAAAAAUGAGAUCUAUCUCUGAGCUAAGACCGAUCGAACACUCUUAAUGAGAUCUAUCUCUGAGCUAAUUAAGACCGAUCGAACACUCUUUCUUUCUAGAAAGAUUUUCAUUUUUUUGGAGAACUGGCUUGAAGAUUUUCAUUUUUGAUAUAAGGAAAUAGGAGAGAGAGAGAGAGAGAUUACCGCUAAAGUUGUCGUGCAGAAGUUGCAGAGGACAUAGCAAACACGAUCAGAUGAUAAAUCUAUAGACAUUUUUGAACUUGUGGUUUCUCUUCAAUAAUAUCUUCUUGUUUGGGUUAUAUAAAAUUUUUAGGUAUGCGAAUGAAAUCAAAGAAGGAACUAUUUGAUCUUGGAAGAAUAAAUUAAAGAAAAAGCAAGCAAAUAAGAGAGCAGAAGGAUAUAGAGAGAUGGGUGGAGGAAGCGUACAAAAAAUCUGAAAAGAUUAAUGGGGUUUGUUUUGAGGGAAAGGGAGACCAGUGGGGACUAUAUUACAAUGUUCUUUUUACAUAUAGUUUCUAUUAUUUUUUCAGAGUUGAAUACUCAAGAAUAAAAUGAAUGUUCUCUCGUGUAAUUUUUCUGCUUAGGGUAAAUUGUAUAUGUAUAUAUAACUUAAAAGAAUACUAAUUAAUAAAACUCUC
RNAcentral lists this long non-coding RNA (1260 nucleotides) under Brassica napus (rape). RNAcentral's name for it is "long non-coding RNA (BNAP_LNC008501)". Lineage: Eukaryota; Viridiplantae; Streptophyta; Magnoliopsida; Brassicales; Brassicaceae. The record is from RNAcentral.